Molecule: ribosomal RNA, 253 nt
Filed under: uncultured bacterium
Lineage: Bacteria
Description: partial 16S ribosomal RNA
Rfam family: Bacterial small subunit ribosomal RNA
Source: RNAcentral
UACGAGGGGGGCAAGCGUUGUUCGGAAUUAUUGGGCGUAAAGGGCGCGUAGGCGGUGCGGUAAGUCUGAUGUGAAAUCUCCGGGCUCAACUCGGAGUCUGCAUCAGAAACUGCCGUGCUCGAGUGUGGGAGAGGUGAGUGGAAUUCCCGGUGUAGCGGUGAAAUGCGUAGAUAUUGCUCGGAAGGCCAACGGCGAAGGCAGGUUACUGGUACGCAACUGACGCUGAGGCACGAAAGCGUGGGGAGCAAACAGG